Acanthopagrus latus (yellowfin seabream) is the source of this 1745-nucleotide long non-coding RNA. RefSeq lists it as uncharacterized. The record is from RefSeq and is a predicted model, not a curated record. The transcript has 3 exons. Lineage: Eukaryota; Metazoa; Chordata; Actinopteri; Spariformes; Sparidae.
UUACAUCACCUAAGGGCUGUCAAGUAUCAUAGAUGCAUGAUAAAACAUUAGAAUCAGUUAAUCACCUCUGACAAAGUAUACAUAGAUUGAAUGACUCCUCUUUAAAAGCAGCUUUGUUUGGAUAAGCUUGGACACGCAGCAGAAAAAAAAAAAAAAAAAAGGCCAAUUAUGUUGGAGGCCUCGGCGUCGGUGGAGUGUGAGUGUGUAUUUUUUGGUGUGUAGUCCAGCGCGCCGCUCAUUUGGCAUUAGUUCCAGCAGAUACACAGUAAAAACAUCACAAUCACGCCGUCGCACGACAGUCCCGAUUUCACACCAUCAGCGCUCGCGCCGACCGGGACCCUCCAUUAGCCCGCACAUGUGUUUACAUUCCAGAGGUCUGUCCUCAAAUGAUUUGAAUGUAUUUUCUUUUUUUUUUUUUUCUUUUUUUUUAUUAUUGCAGCCGCUGUUAUUUAUCACAUGCAAAACGGCUGUGGGACACGGUGAUGUACGCUAUCAGCGGUGACAAUGAUAACCAGGACAAUAAUUACACAAAGCCCGGCUCAUCCAUCACCGUCACUUAUCACUCGAACAAUCAGGCGUUAAAGAGAAAAGAGGGGCGGAGAGGGAGAAAAAAGGAAGGAUCCUGGACUGGGAGUCUCCGCUCCGCGUGUCAGUCAAGAGACGAUCCAGUUCGGCGUGAACAUGGUAUCAUACGUGUGGUCACAUGAGGCUUAAUAACACCACGGCCUCCACCGUUCAUAUCGUGUCCUCCUGGAUUGAAAGUGAGUUUGGUAGAGGUGCUCUGCAGGACUUUGAGGACUCCUCAUACAUGUUGGCUUAGAAGAUCGUAACGUGACGUGAAGCAUAAGACCUCCCCUAUCGCUCUAUGUUGCCUUCACAAGCCUGUGAUGAAAGUAGGACUGUGGAUUUCUUUGUGACGGACACAGGUUUGGAUUUUCUCUGUGACUUCCAGUUGGCAAUAGUAUCUAACGUUAGUUUAGAAAUGGCGUCACGACUGGCUGCCGGCACGAGAAGUUCCUUUAAACGGCUGACACCAGAGAGUUGUCUCUGUUGUUGUUUCUCCCUUUGGCAGUAUUUGAGUUUUCAUCCAGGUGUGUUGAAGGUUUCAUCCUUAAAAUGCUUGAAAAUCUAUAUUUGAACGACAACUGAGGAUCACAUAAUCACUGAAAAGCUCCAGGAACAGCUGUUAAAUGGACCUCGCGAUGACGAGAAUUCACUUUAAAAUCUUCACAUCGUACAUUUGUAUUUAUUACCCUGUUUUAUCUUCUGUAGUAAAGUUUUAUUUCUAUAGAGACCAGAUUGGUUGCAUGUACAAAACUCAAGAAUAAAAAAAAAUAAAUGAUGUACCUGACCGCUCCCUCGUGAUCAGAUAUGAUAAGAUACCAUAUCAGGAAAAACAUGUUUAGCAAAAUAAACAGAGUUCUAAACUACUUUCAACCAGGUCACACAUGAUUGCAUAACACACACAGAUAAAAAAAACAGCAGAUCCACUCAGUGUUUUUGCUUCAGACCGACUGCGGGACGGCCUCAACAUGUCUGGCUUGACAGUGAACUUGAACCCUGAAAACCCCCCCGAACGAAGGGAGUAAACUGGAGACUGAGGGACGGUUUGAGCGACAGAAAGAGGGAGCCUCCCCGUUAGCGAGAGGUCAGGGGUUACGUAAAUACUGAGGAAAAAAGCCCCUCUGGGUUUGGGGUCGAUGCUCUCUCGGGUAACGCGGUUGACACCUCCUGGGACUCGAAGA